RNAcentral lists this long non-coding RNA (445 nucleotides) under Homo sapiens (human). RNAcentral describes it as "long non-coding RNA NONHSAT160218.1". Lineage: Eukaryota; Metazoa; Chordata; Mammalia; Primates; Hominidae. The record is from RNAcentral.
UGGGAUUACAGACUUUGUGUUGGAGAAGAUUAAGGAGGUGAAGGGAAAAGAAAAUCCUGUUCUAUUCGCCUAUUAAAUAAAGGAAGAAAUGGGAGCCGGGAGAUUAGGGAACUGAUCAAGAAGUACUGCAGAAAGAAGACAUCCAUGCGGUCCUUUGCUGUCCUCUCUCCUACACUGCAGCGGUGGCCAUUUUUGCUUCGCUGGGCUCCACGGAUCUGGAGGAGCAACAGAUCUGCACAUCUGAAGGUCAGGAAUUUGGAGAAGACAUGGUGCGACGGCUUGUCGCUGCUCUCAGCUGUCUAGGGCUUCAACUGGGAAGACUUGAAUAACAGGGACUGCAAUCAUCUGGAAUCUUCUUCUUCCGCAUGUGCCCUGUCCCUGGGCUGGCUUGGGCUCAGCUGGAACUGUUGGCAGGAUGUCCACAGCAUAGUGGCCUCAGGGUAGU